CGGGGAGAGGUGUGUUUGCGGGGGACAGCUUCCAGCCCUGGCUCAGCCUAUCCGGGAGGGGCCUGGUGCAUGCUGGGAAAGGACGCGUGGUCGGUGAGCUGGGUCUCCAGGAGGUCGUAUCCGUGCCCUGGCACUAGUGCGAAGGAGCUGGAGGACAGGACGUCAUGUUGAGGGUGAUGACUGGGAGGAAGGCUGGAAACAGGACAGCAUGAGGGCGCGCGGUCUUUCCUGAUGCCUGGGGCGGGACCGUGGGCAGAGGGAUGCUCGGGUGGGGAGGAAGGGAGCAUCGCUAAGGACGGAGAGUCUCCCGGGGUGACCGGGUGAGCCUCGUGGGCACUGAGGACGGAUCAGAAGAGUGAGGCCUGAGAGAACAACCUCUGCGCGAAAAUCCAGCAGAAACGAUGAAUUUUCUUCCGGGCUUGCGGCAUUUUGGUUUCUGCGGUCUGCAGGUGGCAGUGUUGCUCCAUCCACAGUGUCGCCGGGCCGGUUUUUCCUCUGCUCUCGCGCUUUAAUAAAAGGACAGGAAGCCUUUUCCCACAAGCAGGGGCUGGUUUGGUUUUGUUUUCCUCCGCUUGUGCCGGUUGCCUGAUUCAAACUGCAUCGGAGCCCUUCAGAGAGCCCGUUGUGAGAACUUUGACCGGACCCACUGACACUUAAAAUUACAAUAAAAUAAUAUAAGCUGACGUAGUGAAUGGUAGUGGAGGGAGUAAACCCUCCCUUG
Bubalus bubalis (water buffalo) is the source of this 721-nucleotide long non-coding RNA. RefSeq lists it as uncharacterized. The transcript is spliced from 2 exons. NCBI's taxonomy places the organism in Eukaryota, Metazoa, Chordata, Mammalia, Artiodactyla, Bovidae. The record is from RefSeq and is a predicted model, not a curated record.